UGUAUCAAUCCUAGAAUGCUAUUUGAUGUGUGCUGCAGCUAAUUAUUUGUUGCUGCCAAUUUGGUUUUUUGGCUGGCUCUGGUUGGUAAAUAUGAAGAUAUAAGAUUCCAACACCUAGUUUAUGGUGUAGUGACUUUGCUGGAAGCCGUGGAUGAUCCAUGGGGAUGCAAGGUUUGUGAUGUGUUGGAGGAAUGAUAGAAUUAGUUGUUUCGUUG
RNAcentral lists this long non-coding RNA (215 nucleotides) under Phaseolus vulgaris (common bean). RNAcentral's name for it is "long non-coding RNA (PVUL_LNC004052)". The record is from RNAcentral. Lineage: Eukaryota; Viridiplantae; Streptophyta; Magnoliopsida; Fabales; Fabaceae.